GAAAAGAGGGAAUGUGUUAUGAAAAUAUCACUGCUAGGCCCUCAUUACUGUGUCCCUAUGCAUGGUCAGUCCCAGUUUACUAUAUCAAUUUAAUUUCCUAUUAUGGGUUAAUUUCUGGAGUUAUUUAAAUUUGUGCAGUUUAUAGGCUAAUUUUCGGUAUUCGAAUGUAUUUGAUCUAUUUCAAAUAUGACAUAGUUAAUUUGUUCCUUCCUGUUUCUUCGAGCUUCAAGUUUUGUCUGUUGUAAUCCUUUCUCCCCGUUCUUCUACCAUUCCUUUCAAUUCAUUAUCUCUUUCUUCUUCCUUUUUUUCCCAUCUUGAUUAUAGGUAUAAUGAUUUGCUGAUAUUUGUGAGUCACAUGUUGUAAUAUUUCAACACAGUUCCAAAUUAAAAUUUCUUUAGAAAAAUGUUAAGCAAAUUAAAUAUCCUAAUAGCCAUCAGUAAUGUCGCAAAUCCAUCGGUUGAACGUGAGCAAAGUGAAAUAUUUGCUAAAUCUAUUGCCAGAGAUGAGGACAUCUUGGGUGCAAUGUUGGGAGGGAUAUGCAUUUAGUGAAGCAGGCAAAAUGGCAUGAUAAAUUUACCAAAUGGUUAUGACGGUUGCGUUUCCUCUUGAGCUUUUAUAUGAAUUCUUAUUGUGCACUAAAAUUUAUGUGGUGGGAGAAAAGGAUAAACAUUCAAGAAAGAAAUAUUUCUGUAGUUGAGCGAGUUAAUUGAAGAAAUUUUCACAUCCAUGCAUAUUGACAUGAAGUGAAAUGUAAUGGGUGCCUCUAAUCAAAUCUAAGCAAUAGCCUUCAUGAUAAGGUUGCACAAUGCACUAAAGUGUAUUACUGUAAUCUUAUAUGCAAAUUACAGAAUCUAGAAGUAACAUUCUAUAUAUCCAUGAUCAUGUUUAUACCUGAUUUUCGAAGGUAACAUGAAGCUCUUGCUAUGCUGUUGUUUUCGGAAUGGCAAGAUCGACUACUAAGCUUCGCGCCGUACACAAAGAAUAAUGGCUUUGAGCAUUUUGAAGCUAAAGGCUCCGUUUAGUAGUUCAAGCAUACAUUAAAUUGGAAAACUCUGAGCUAUCCUCAUACAUGUCCAUGGUUUAGAUAUUAAUUCAGAUUCACACGUAUGUUCAUAUCCAUAUGAUUUUGAUCUUGUAAUCAAAAUCUAUCAAUGAAGAAAGGGAAAGAGAGUUCGGAAGAAGAUGAAGCUGAAUUGCGCUCAAUAUUAGAGAAGUUGGUUAUUUCAGAUUGUCAAGUGCUGAGGCUUGUUCAGUUUUGCUUCAACUUUUUGGUCAAAGGUUUUGUUGUGACACAUUGACACUCAUGAAGGAAAAAAAUUCAUAUGCUAAAUGUGUAUUAUAUUUUUUUGGAGAAAAUACAAAUGAAAAUCUCUCCUUCGUAUCUCAACAUUGCUUCCUAUUAAGGUAGCAAAAAGGGAAAUAAUGUGACGGAAAAAUUAUAUCGUAUUUUAUUCUACUCAUUUAUGAGCGUACACUUUUUGAUGCUGAAGAUGGACUGCAACUUUGGUUUGCCUGGAGAUGUUGAUUUGGAAUCGUUCAAUGAGAGACGAUUAGGACCCUCAACUGCUGAAAAGAUGAACAUUGUUUUUGCUUUGGGUGAGAUAGUUGUGUGCUUGAUGUUGCUGGGUUGAAAUUUAAUUUUAUGCUGUCUCAAUGAUUCUACUAUAUAACAACUGACAUGCGAAUAUAAACAUUCUCCACAGUUUUAAGACUCAAAUGUUUCUAUGCAUUUGUUCAAAGCUUUUGCCUUUCUUUUGUUGCAUGUCAGCAUCGCCAAUGAUUCUACUAGCCGCAUUUUGGGAUUUGGUUUUCAUAACAGCUCUGCUGUAAACUUUAACACGAAGGGAAGCUUGAUGAUCACAGUUUGGCUCAGACAAACAGAAUCGAGACUGGGUUGCAUGCUCCGUACAGUUUACUCUUUCACCACAGAAAUCCUCAGAUGUUAACUCCUAUUACUUCUCUGAGGGACACUAACUAUGGCUUCACCAUUGGGAAAGAAGCUUCGACAACCUUGAGCCUAGCUGAAAAGACCAACAUAGAUAUUUGAUAAAGUUAGAUGUUUCAGUAGUAUGUUCAGGGAAAUGAAAUCAUUUACCUAAUGUUCUUUACGUGCGGAAA
Molecule: RNA transcript, 2119 nt
Organism: Lycium ferocissimum
Lineage: Eukaryota; Viridiplantae; Streptophyta; Magnoliopsida; Solanales; Solanaceae
Exons: 3
Source: RefSeq, a predicted model, not a curated record